RNAcentral lists this ribosomal RNA (520 nucleotides) under uncultured eukaryote. Its description in RNAcentral is "bacterial SSU rRNA". It matches the Rfam family "Eukaryotic small subunit ribosomal RNA", at positions 21 to 549 of the family's 1831-position model. The record is from RNAcentral.
UAGUCAUAUGCUUGUCUCAAAGAUUAAGCCAUGCAUGUCUAAGUAUAAGCACUUUAUACUGUGAAACUGCGAAUGGCUCAUUAAAUCAGUUAUGGUUUAUUUGAUAAUCGCAUUUACAUGGAUAACCGUAGUAAUUAUAGAGCUAAUACAUGCUGUUUGCCCGACUUUAUGGAAGGGCCGUAUUUAUUAGAUAACAAACCAAUAUUCCUCCGGGUCUAUUGUGGUGAAUCAUAAUAACUGAUCGAAUCGCAUGGGCUUUGCCCCGAUAAAUCAUUCAAGUUUCUGCCCCAUCAGCUUUCGAUGGUAGUGUAUUGGACUACCAUGGCUUUCACGGGUGACGGAGGAUUAGGGUUCGAUUCCGGAGAGGGAGCCUGAGAAACGGCUACCACAUCUAUGGAAGGCAGCAGGCGCGUAAAUUACCCAAUCCUGAUUCAGGGAGGUAGUGACAAGAAAUAACGGCCCGAGGAUUUCCUCGGGACUUGCAAUGAGGACAAUUUAAACCCUUUACCGAGGAUCAAUU